RNAcentral lists this ribosomal RNA (200 nucleotides) under uncultured bacterium. Its description in RNAcentral is "partial 16S ribosomal RNA". It matches the Rfam family "Bacterial small subunit ribosomal RNA", at positions 8 to 221 of the family's 1533-position model. The record is from RNAcentral.
AGAGUUUGAUCCUGGCUCAGGACGAACGCUGGCGGCGUGCUUAACACAUGCAAGUCGAACGAGACCUUCGGGUCGAGUGGCGGACGGGUGAGUAACACGUAGGUAAUCUGCCUCUCAAUGGGGGAUACCUGGCCGAAAGGUCAGUUAAUACCGCAUACGCUCCACGGUUGGGAUACUGUGGAGGAAAGAUUUAUCGUUGA